RNAcentral lists this ribosomal RNA (279 nucleotides) under uncultured bacterium. RNAcentral's name for it is "partial 16S ribosomal RNA". It matches the Rfam family "Bacterial small subunit ribosomal RNA", at positions 506 to 784 of the family's 1533-position model. The record is from RNAcentral.
UGCCAGCAGCCGCGGUAAUACGAAAGGGGCUAGCGUUGUUCGGAAUUAUUGGGCGUAAAGGGCAUGUAGGCGGCAUGACAAGUCUGGUGUGAAAUAUCUCGGCUCAACCGAGAAAACGCACUGGAAACUGUCAAGCUUGAGUAUCGGAGGGGAAGCUAGAAUUCCUGGUGUAGGGGUGAAAUCUGUAGAUAUCAGGAAGAAUACCGGUGGCGAAGGCGAGCUUCUGGCCAGAUACUGACGCUGAGAUGCGAAAGCGUGGGGAGCGAACAGGAUUAGAUA